AAAAAUAGGCAUAGCCUAUAUCCACCUUGUGUGCAAACAAUGGAGAGAGAAAAAUGGAACUAAGGGCACUUUUUCUUCGAGAGAGUGUUGCCAACUUCUCUUUUUUUUUUUAUUUUAUAAAACACUAUCAAAAUUUAAAUAAAAUCAUUUUUUUUUAAAAUAAAAAUAUUAUA
This 173-nucleotide unclassified non-coding RNA is filed under the name uncultured Mucoromycotina. RNAcentral describes it as "sequence contains ITS1". The record is from RNAcentral. Lineage: Eukaryota; Fungi.